Molecule: ribosomal RNA, 433 nt
Filed under: uncultured bacterium
Lineage: Bacteria
Description: partial 16S ribosomal RNA
Rfam family: Bacterial small subunit ribosomal RNA
Source: RNAcentral
AACGAACGCUGGCGGCAGGCCUAACACAUGCAAGUCGAGCGAGGACUUCGGUCCUAGCGGCGGACGGGUGAGUAACGCGUGGGAACGUGCCCUUUGCUUCGGAAUAGCCCUGGGAAACUGGGAGUAAUACCGGAUGAGCCCUUUGGGGGAAAGAUUUAUCGGCGAAGGAUCGGCCCGCGUUGGAUUAGGUAGUUGGUGGGGUAAUGGCCUACCAAGCCGACGAUCCAUAGCUGGUGUGAGAGGAUGAUCAGCCACACUGGGACUGAGACACGGCCCAGACUCCUACGGGAGGCAGCAGUGGGGAAUCUUAGACAAUGGGGGAAACCCUGAUCUAGCAAUGCCGCGUGAGCGAUGAAGGCCUUAGGGUUGUAAAGCUCUUUCAGCUGGGAAGAUAAUGACGGUACCAGCAGAAGAAGCCCCGGCUAACUCCGUG